CCAACGGGUGGCUGCAGUGGGGAAUUUUGGACAAUGGGCGCAAGCCUGAUCCAGCCAUGCCGCGUGAGUGAAGAAGGCCUUCGGGUUGUAAAGCUCUUUCGGCGGGGAAGAAAUGGCGCUUUCUAAUACAGAGCGUUGAUGACGGUACCCGCAUAAGAAGAACCGGCUAACUACGUGCCAGCAGCCGCGGUAAUACGUAGGGUGCGAGCGUUAAUCGGAAUUACUGGGCGUAAAGCGUGCGCAGGCGGUUGUGUAAGUCAGAUGUGAAAUCCCCGGGCUCAACCUGGGAACUGCAUUUGAGACUGCACGGCUAGAGUGUGACAGAGGGGGGUAGAAUUCCACGUGUAGCAGUGAAAUGCGUAGAGAUGUGGAGGAAUACCGAUGGCGAAGGCAGCCCCCUGGGUUACUACUGACGCUCAUGCACGAAAGCGUGGGGAGCAAACA
This 444-nucleotide ribosomal RNA is filed under the name uncultured prokaryote. Its description in RNAcentral is "bacterial SSU rRNA". It matches the Rfam family "Bacterial small subunit ribosomal RNA", at positions 338 to 774 of the family's 1533-position model. The record is from RNAcentral.